GUAACACAGAACAUACAGUUACAAAGUAUGUACAGUAACAUAGAACAUACAGUUACACAGUACGUACAGUAACAUAGAACAUACACUUACAUGGUAACACUUAACACAUACAUUAACACAGAACAUACAGUCACACAGUACACACAGUUACACAUAGAACAACAUACAGUCACACAGUACACACAGUUACACAUAGAACAUCCACUUACAUGGUAACACUGUUAAGACAAACAUUAACACAGUACAUACAG
Molecule: non-coding RNA, 251 nt
Organism: Pelobates cultripes (western spadefoot toad)
Lineage: Eukaryota; Metazoa; Chordata; Amphibia; Anura; Pelobatidae
Source: the annotation of a GenBank genome assembly